Molecule: ribosomal RNA, 495 nt
Filed under: uncultured bacterium
Lineage: Bacteria
Description: partial 16S ribosomal RNA
Rfam family: Bacterial small subunit ribosomal RNA
Source: RNAcentral
GACGAACGCUGGCGGCGUGCCUAAUACAUGCAAGUAGAACGCUGAAGGAGGAGCUUGCUUCUCUGGAUGAGUUGCGGACGGGUGAGUAACGCGUAGGUAACCUGCCUGGUAGCGGGGGAUAACUAUUGGAAACGAUAGCUAAUACCGCAUAAGAGUAGAUGUCGCAUGACAUUUGCUUAAAAGGUGCAAUUGCAUCACUACCAGAUGGACCUGCGUUGUAUUAGCUAGUUGGUGAGGUAACGGCUCACCAAGGCAACGAUACAUAGCCGACCUGAGAGGGUGAUCGGCCACACUGGGACUGGGACACGGCCCAGACUCCUACGGGAGGCAGCAGUAGGGAAUCUUCGGCAAUGGACGGAAGUCUGACCGAGCAACGCCGCGUGAGUGAAGAAGGUUUUCGGAUCGUAAAGCUCUGUUGUAAGAGAAGAACGGGUGUGAGAGUGGAAAGUUCACACUGUGACGGUAUCUUACCAGAAAGGGACGGCUAACUACGUG